RNAcentral lists this long non-coding RNA (374 nucleotides) under Capsella rubella. RNAcentral's name for it is "long non-coding RNA (CRUB_LNC000974)". The record is from RNAcentral. Lineage: Eukaryota; Viridiplantae; Streptophyta; Magnoliopsida; Brassicales; Brassicaceae.
AAAUGACAAGUUGUCGUUAAAAAGUUAAAAAAGUUAAAAAAGGAAAAAUCAAAGAAAGCCGUGAGAUGAGGUAGAAGAAGAAGAAAGAACCACACACACACACGAGUCAUGAGUCACGACGACACAACUUUUUGGUUUCCGACGUGUCUGCCCUUCUCCUCGUAUCUCUUUGGUCGACCAGACGACCUUUUCUUACCGGCUUUUUAUAAUUUCUCUUUCUAGUACGAUACAAAACUACGCGUAAAAUGUAAGAGUCUUUUUUUUUUUUUGGCUAUAAGAUUAAUUUAUUUGAGUCAAAAUCUCGUAUGUAUUUUUUAUUUGUUACAAAAAUUAGUUUAACUAAAAUUGUUUAUUUUGUGAUUAGAGUAUUCGUU